CCUACGGGUGGCAGCAGUGGGGAAUAUUGGGCAAUGGGCGCAAGCCUGACCCAGCAACGCCGCGUGAAGGAAGAAGGCUUUCGGGUUGUAAACUUCUUUUCUCAGGGACGAAGCAAGUGACGGUACAUCAGGAAUAAGCCACGGCUAACUACGUGACAGCAGCCGCGGUACUACGUAGGUGGCAAGCGUUAUCCGGAUUUCCUGGGUGUAAAGGGCGUGUAGGCGGGAAAGCAAGUCAGAUGUGAAAACCUUGGGCUCAACCUGUGGCCUGCAUUUGAAACUGUUUUUAUUGAGUGCUGGAGAGGCAGACGGAAUUCCUAGUGUAGCGGUGAAAUGCGUAGAUAUUAGGAGGAACACCAGUGGCGAAGGCGGUCUUCUGGACAGCAACUGACGCUGAGGCGCGAAAGCGUGGGGAGCAAACAGGAUUAGAUACCCCAGUAGUC
This 443-nucleotide ribosomal RNA is filed under the name uncultured bacterium. Its description in RNAcentral is "partial 16S ribosomal RNA". It matches the Rfam family "Bacterial small subunit ribosomal RNA", at positions 338 to 795 of the family's 1533-position model. The record is from RNAcentral.